GUUAUUUUAAGCUUAAUCACAGUUACCACGCUGGCCGCAGUAUCAGGUAUAGCAUUACAUACCUCUCUGCAAACCAAACAUUUUGUGGAAAAUUGGCACCGUGACUCUCGGGAUCUUUGGCUUUCACAAACUAUGAUUGAUACUCGCUUGCAAACACAAAUAGAUGUCCUUAGGCAGACAGUGGGCUGGUUAGGGAAGAAGGUAUUGACACUAGAGAGGCAAAUUUGGCUUCGUUGCGAUUGGAAUUCUACGACUUUUUGUGUUACCAAUUUAAAAUAUAAUAAGUCACAGCAUGAUUGGAGCGUUAUCCAAAGAUACUUAGAAGGUAAUUCAUCGGCGGUUGACAUGAUCAAUAAUCUGCACACAAAUAUUCAGGAGAUCUUUGGUAGACCAUUUGAGACCGAAGAUGCUGCCACUUUGGCAGACUUGUUCCUUAAACAACUUGAGGGAUUAGACCCAAAAGGUAUCAUUCAGAGUUUAGGGCAUACUGCUGGAGGAAUGGGCAUUGUGUUGCUAGUUGUUAUCUUAUGCUUUACGCUGCUACAUUUCUGCUAUAUAAAACCGUCCCAGAAUUCUAUGGCCACCCUCUGGAAGGCAAUUUUAUUAAAACAAAAGAAAAAAGGGGGAAAUGAGAUGGCAUAGGCUUGCAGGCCCCUUGCGAGCCAGGGUCAUUCAAGGACUGCAGUGAGAGUUAGGAAAGCCAGGCAAACCUGAGCAAGGAGGAGAAAAUGUUCUCUUCCCCUUAUCUCAUGUUGCAAGUUCUGAAUGCCUGGAUCUGCAAGAAGUGGCUCUUGCCUAGAUUAGAGGCGUCCCUCCUUAGGACAAGAACAUGCUGUCUCCAGAGGAAGGGUGGCUGAGAGAAUUCUUUAAUUCUGCAAAAAUAAA
Molecule: non-coding RNA, 885 nt
Organism: Callorhinus ursinus (northern fur seal)
Lineage: Eukaryota; Metazoa; Chordata; Mammalia; Carnivora; Otariidae
Source: RefSeq, a predicted model, not a curated record